This 253-nucleotide ribosomal RNA is filed under the name uncultured bacterium. Its description in RNAcentral is "partial 16S ribosomal RNA". It matches the Rfam family "Bacterial small subunit ribosomal RNA", at positions 524 to 776 of the family's 1533-position model. The record is from RNAcentral.
UACGUAGGGGGCAAGCGUUGUCCGGAAUCAUUGGGCGUAAAGCGCGCGUAGGCGGCUCGAUCAGUCUGCUGUAAAAGUCAAAGGCUCAACCUUUGAAUGCCGGUGGAUACUGUCGAGCUAGAGUCCGGAAGAGGCGAGUGGAAUUCCCGGUGUAGUGGUGAAAUGCGUAGAUAUCGGGAGGAACACCAGUGGCGAAGGCGGCUACCUGGCCCACUCUUGACGCUGAGGCGCGAAAGCUAGGGGAGCAAACGGG